This 1213-nucleotide long non-coding RNA is filed under the name Triticum aestivum (bread wheat). RNAcentral describes it as "long non-coding RNA (TAES_LNC005233)". Lineage: Eukaryota; Viridiplantae; Streptophyta; Magnoliopsida; Poales; Poaceae. The record is from RNAcentral.
ACAUAGCAAUAGCUCUAGGCUUCCAUCCUAAAUCUGAGCAAAACUACUACAUUUUCUUGUUUUGGACCAUGCAAAAUAGCUUUAGGCUAAUGAAGUCUCAGAACAUAGAAAAAUAGUAACUCCAGACUAAGUUCAGAUUGCCCCCGGAAGAAACAUUCAUUGCAGCAACAGAUAUGAGACCUAAUUGUUUUCCCAUUGAUUUGAGAAUUGAAGACCUGCACGAUCAUCAUCAUUCAUCAGUCCGCCUCCAGAUCCCUACAAAAAUGAAGAACAUGGACACUCAAUCGAUUUAUCAAACCAAAACUUGAUAUAUCUGUUUUCACCAAUAUUGCAAGUAUAAUCAUGCCUAACUGGUUGGCUAGCUAGCAAGAAACAUAGAAUCAACAACUACCGGUGCUAGUAAAUGAGUAAAUACAAAGUUACACGAUUGUGGGUUGCAUGUUCUUUCCUACCAUCACAUUCAGUCGUUGUGCGGAAGCGCCAUGUACUCCAUCGCCCACCCAGAUAUCACCACAUGUAGGAUCAGCAAGACGAUUGACACGAUAAAACCGGUAACAUUAGGCCACUGCAAAACCAAUCAUCAGACCCUCAUUGGUACGCACUGCCGUACAUAUGCGCAAGUGGAAAACAAAGCAAUACGAUCCUACCAUCACCAAAGGAUCAUCCCCGAGCCAACCAAACCAAAUCCACACCAUGUAGUUUCCCAUUGCAAAACUUAAGAAUCGCAUGGCUGGUAUCCUCUCCAUCCCCUCCUCCAUCACAUAUGGCUGCAUUUGUAAUGGAGACAUAAGUCACAGAUGGCUCAACGAGGCAUAGUUCGAACCACAAUUUUUACUUACCAAACCGGUGAGUGGUGAUAAAGCGAGUAUUUAACCAAAAACUACCACAUUUCAUGAAAACGUGCCCAGAAACUACCACUUUAUGAUUUUGUACGAAAAACUACCAUUUUUUUCCUAAUCCUUUGCUAAAAACUACCAGUCUGAAAAGUGAUGGACUAAACCCGAUUAUGAUAGGCUGGGCCCACCCAUCAAUGCGGAAAUAGCCAACACCGUUGCUUUGACCGUGAAUAUGUGGGGCUCAUAUGCCAGUUCCAUCUCCUUGCUCUGAAAUUCCCCACCGAGGAUCCAGAUCAGGGGCGCCGCCAUGCCGCAGCUCAGGCCACACUCCACCUCCUUCCCCUCAGCACCUCCAUCCUCCAACCAUCUACCCAGCC